Molecule: long non-coding RNA, 220 nt
Filed under: Capsicum annuum
Lineage: Eukaryota; Viridiplantae; Streptophyta; Magnoliopsida; Solanales; Solanaceae
Description: long non-coding RNA (CANN_LNC008213)
Source: RNAcentral
UAGGCGAUGGGAAAUGCGAUGCCCAACCUAUUUUUAGCGAUGGGCAAUGCGCCACACAACUUAGCUUAAGCUAUAGGCAAUGCGCCGCAUGUCCUAUGGCCCAAGGGCGUAAAAACUUUGUUUUUAAGUUUUUUUAAGGGCAACCAAGUCUUUUUACACUUCUUAAAUGUCUCUAAACAUAACCUUAUAAAAUUAAUAGCUCCUAAUGACAUUUUAACCC